AACGAACGCUGGCGGCAUGCCUAACACAUGCAAGUCGAACGAAGCCUUCGGGCUUAGUGGCGCACGGGUGCGUAACGCGUGGGAAUCUGCCCUUGGGUUCGGAAUAACAGUUAGAAAUGACUGCUAAUACCGAAUGAUGUCUUCGGACCAAAGAUUUAUCGCCCGAGGAUGAGCCCGCGUCGGAUUAGCUAGUUGGUGAGGUAAAGGCUCACCAAGGCGACGAUCCGUAGCUGGUCUGAGAGGAUGAUCAGCCACACUGGGACUGAGACACGGCCCAGACUCCUACGGGAGGCAGCAGUGGGGAAUAUUGGACAAUGGGCGAAAGCCUGAUCCAGCAAUGCCGCGUGAGUGAUGAAGGCCUUAGGGUUGUAAAGCUCUUUUACCCGGGAUGAUAAUGACAGUACCGGGAGAAUAAGCCCCGGCUAACUCCGUGCCAGCAGCCGCGGUAAU
This 450-nucleotide ribosomal RNA is filed under the name uncultured bacterium. RNAcentral's name for it is "bacterial SSU rRNA". It matches the Rfam family "Bacterial small subunit ribosomal RNA", at positions 29 to 524 of the family's 1533-position model. The record is from RNAcentral.